This 479-nucleotide ribosomal RNA is filed under the name uncultured anaerobic ammonium-oxidizing bacterium. RNAcentral describes it as "bacterial SSU rRNA". It matches the Rfam family "Bacterial small subunit ribosomal RNA", at positions 364 to 833 of the family's 1533-position model. The record is from RNAcentral.
UUUCGCAAUGCCCGAAAGGGUGACGAAGCGACGCCGCGUGGGUGAGGAAGGCCUUCGGGUUGUAAAGCCCUGUCAGGAGUUAUGAAAUGUAAGUGCGCUAAUAUCGUGCUUAUUUGACAAAGGCUCCAAAGGAAGCCACGGCUAACUCUGUGCCAGCAGCCGCGGUAAUACAGAGGUGGCGAGCGUUGUUCGGAAUUAUUGGGCGUAAAGAGCACGUAGGUGGGUUUGCAAGUCAGAUGUGAAAGCCUUCUGUUCAACGGAAGAAUUGCAUCUGAAACUGCUAAUCUUGAGUAUAGGAGGGGAGAAUGGAACUUCUGGUGGAGCGGUGAAAUGCGUAGAUAUCAGAAGGAACGCCGGCGGCGAAAGCGAUUCUCUGGCCUAUUCCUGACACUCAGUGUGCGAAAGCUAGGGGAGCAAACGGGAUUAGAUACCCCGGUAGUCCUAGCCGUAAACGAUGGGCACUAAGUAGAGGGGUUUUA